Molecule: long non-coding RNA, 402 nt
Filed under: Homo sapiens (human)
Lineage: Eukaryota; Metazoa; Chordata; Mammalia; Primates; Hominidae
Description: HSALNT0393262
Source: RNAcentral
GCGGCGGCCGCCGCAGCCGGAGGCGGAUUCCUCAGAUAGGCGACUACAUCUCUGGAAGCAGCAGCUCCAUGCUGGAUGUGGUGGAAGAAUCGAGAGGGAAUGGACUGGAAGUUUGGAAUCACCGGAAAAUAACAAGGCAUAGCUAAGCUGUGACUAGCAAGAUAAACGAUUUGUUCGAGGUUUGAUUGUCCUUUCCCUCCUCCACUCGGAAGACAUAGUUGUCUUUUUUUAAAUCAUGUUUUGUACCGAAAUAUUUUUAUUUUAUAAUUGAAUCCCUGUUGUUGGGCCUUUAAAAACCCAUAGAAACAUUGUUAUGUGCCACGAAGGUGGGAAACACGGCUUUCUCAGUCAUUGCUGUACUCCCACAAUUCUGGGUCAUGCACACAAUACAGGUUUAGUAAA